This is a long non-coding RNA of Pan troglodytes (chimpanzee), 8596 nucleotides long. RefSeq lists it as uncharacterized. The record is from RefSeq and is a predicted model, not a curated record. NCBI's taxonomy places the organism in Eukaryota, Metazoa, Chordata, Mammalia, Primates, Hominidae. The transcript has 6 exons.
ACAGUGUGCAUGCACUCUGAGAAGACAGAAAAUGCCAUAUAUAUAUAUUUAUAUUUGAUGUGAUGGGUGCAGAGUGGUGGUUGCUCCCAGCCAGGUCAUUUCAAUAACAACAGGAGACCACAGUUACUGCUGAAUGGCAUCUUUCAGGCUGAAGAGCUUCCGCAGUCUCUCCACUUCCAUACUGAUUAGAAGUGCUUGAGAUACAUCAUAACAGUGUCAGUGCAGUGUUUAUCGGGGAAAUUGUCGCUGUCUCUCGCUUGUGGAAGGUGACAUAAUGGGAUUUCUUCCCUUUGUCCUGGUGACAGGAUGAUGAGCACUGUCUGGGCUCCAGUUCGGCGGGCUUUGCCAUUCAGGCAUCCGGCGCAGCUGACAAGCCCGAGGAUCGAUGGAGAAGAGUUUGAUUAUUCAGUCAAAACCUAAGUAUCCUGUUGGGAGAAGAACACUCAUUUUAGUGGCACUGUUCUAUUCUUUGGAUGAAUUGAAUAGUUACUAAUCCAGCCACAGAAGAAAGACACAGGAGAGGCUGAAACAUCACCUCUUGAGGGUCUCCUUUCCGGUGAUUUAUUCAGAUAUUGGCACAUGUGACUCAAUUAUGGCCAAUACUAUGUGAAGGGACAUCUUCUGGGAGUCUUCCUCCUUUUCUUCUGGAUGCUUUGUGUCUGAAUGUGAUGCCUGGAGAUGCAACAGCAGUCUCACUACCAGCACAAGGAUGAAGCUGAUACCCAGGGCUAUUGAGAUGAUUGAAUGAGGUAAUUUCUGCUUAUGAAUUCCCAGCUCUGUGCCUGGCACAGUGGAGGGAGGCAAUUCUGAUCCAUGUUCUCUUCUGAGUGGGUUGUCAGCUGGAGGCCUUCUACUUCUUUCUAAUCCGUUAGCUUCUUGCUAGUGCUGCAUCCCCAGGAGGAAAUCAGUAAAUGCAAGAAAUAAUUACCUUGACAAUGCCUUGCACAUGGUAAGUACCCUAAAAUAAUUCAUUGAAUUGUUUGUUAUUUUGGUGUUAAUGGAUGGGGAGCAUCUGAUUAAAUGUUAUUAUUUAUUAGAUCUAAAAUAUAAAUUUGGAAUCUUCUGUUGCACUUUUACCUAAUUACUCUAAACACCAGUGGGAGAGAGGAAUUAGUCACAAUACAACUUAAAGAAAAAAAUAUCUUGCUGUCACUGACUUCUCUCCUUGGUCUGAAAACUUUCUGAUUUUGUAGGAUGCCACUGACUGCUCUUUCUGCAACUGAAAAAUCUCUCAAAGGGCCCUGUCCAGUUAGGUCACACAAAGCCAGGCUGAUUAUUUAGAGAGAACACAAUGCUCCCUCACAUGGGGCACAGAGAGGAAGGAAUUUUUUUUUUUAAGCCAAUUCCAGUCCCAGGAGCUGCAAACUGCCCUCAGGGCAAAGAAGCCUGCAGAAUAAUUGGGAGGAGUCUGGCAGGAAGGAAGCCAAGUUUCCUGAGGCCCUCACCAGAAGCUCAUCAGAAGCAGAUGCUGGCACCACUCUUCUUAUGCUGUCUGCAUAACUAUGCUCUGCAGUUCCUCACACCCAGCUAUUGAAUUCAAGCGAUCCUGGAGCAGCAUCCUCAGCCCUAUCAGACCCAGCACUCUCUUUCACUAAAAUAGAUUUUGUAACUUCCAUCACUUUCUUUAGAUAAAAUUCAUUGAUAAUCUAACCCAACUUUACAUAUAAUUUAAAAAUUUAAUGUAAUGUCCUAACUGUAAUAAAGAGGAGAAGUAAAAGGAGAGUAAAUUAUAAUCAAAGAAUACUUUUUUCAAUGCUCAGGACUGUGGAAACUAGAAGAGAGCUUCUCAAAAUUUUAAGUACAUAUGACUCAUUUGGAGAUCUUAUUAAAAUGCAGAUUCAUAUUCAGUGGAUCUGUGUGGUGCCUGAGAUUCUUGUUUCUAACAAGAUCCCAGUCAAUGCAGAUGCUACCAGUCUCUGGACCUCUCCUGUAGUAGCAGGGAACUAGGGCUCAUGAAGAAGCCCUCAAAGCUUUCCUCUUCUGAUAGUGAAGCACUUGGAUUUAGGAGAAGUAAAACAACAUUUAAUCAAAUAUUGAUGACAUUUUAUUUAGUGUUGGCAUGUAUAAAAUAAGACAUAUAUAUAUCUUCAUUAUGAAUGUAAGAGUUUCAAAGACAGCUUUAUUCAGGUGUGUCCUAUUGGUGACUCAGAUACCAUGAUGUGACUUUUGGAAAUGGUGACUAACCCUGGGGAAGAUUUUAAAUAAAACAAGGUAAAUAUUUCCCCAAUUUUCACUGUAGUUUCAUGAUUGGAUAAUUCAGUAUAUAUUGAAUUGUGCAAAAAAUAUUUUGUGUUUAUAUGCAAAACAUAGUCUGAGAAAAAUAUAAAUAGAUUUUUCACCUAUACGUAUGUCAGGUGGGACUUCAAAGUCAUGUAGGACAUUGAACAAUUCUUGGUUGGGACCACCUCUAUGAGGCAUUGCAGAAUGUCUACAGCUCUGCCCCUGCCCAAUAAAUGCACCAGUGCUUCCCAAUCAUUGGAACAACCAAAAAUAUGCCCUCAAGUUUCCACAGUGCCCCACCCCUGAGAACCAGCAACCUAGAGGAACUGAGGAAGAAGAGCAACUGUAGGUGGAAGCUUCUGGAAGCACAUGCAUCAGAACCCACUGCUGUUAGCAGAAGGUGCAUUUCCCUGGGAAGGAGACACAACCAGAUUGCUUCCACUAAGCCGACUUUGCAAAUCUGCAACUGCUGAGUGGACACAACAGCUGGAAGCCAUGCUGCAUCACAAAGAAGAUAGAAGUUACACACUUUCCCAAGGCAAGACAUGAUCAAGAUGCUGCCUGAGAGGGAAGAAUAUAUUUUUCUAGGUGCAAAUUAGUGCCAGUGAUGUUUCUGCUAAAACUCUCAAGUGAGCCCAAGGUUGUGGCUUUGUCAUGCUUGUGUAUUCUGGAGAAGAGCAAGAAGUAGGUAAGGUAGGGUCUGGCCCCUCCUGGAUGCCAGCAACUUCUCCAGCUCCUUCUGAUGCCAGGCCUCUUUGCGCUUACUCUGUUUGUUCAUUUGUUUUUUAUUUUGCUUUUGUGGUAUCUAGACAUUCUUUCAGGUCUCAGGGCUCUCUUAUAUACUGCUCUCUGUGCCUAGGAUGUUCUUCAACUUUCUUAUCUAUCUCUAGCUACCUUGCAGACUAGUUUAAGUGACUCUUCCUCAAGAAAGCCUUCUGGACUGCCAAGACAAGGUCACAGACAAUAUCUUCUUUUAAGCUUUCAUGUCAACUUGAACUUAUGCUUUAUAGCAUCAACCACAAUGUUAACUAAAUAAUAAUUGGUACCUAAAGUCUGCUUUUGCUUCUAGAUAUGAACUCCCUGAGGGUAGAGACUGUGUCUGUCUGGUUGACCAGUUCCACUUGCCACCAAGCAGACACUCAAUACUUUUUUGACAAAUGCAUGAGCGCCAAAGCAAAGGUGUUUUAUUUAUUUUUAUAAAUAAUAAAGAGUGUUCAGGCCAGGAGUCUAUAGGAUUAAAUUAAACUAAGAUGUACAGUGAGGCACAAGUGAGUUCUGAAGGAAAGAGGAAGCCAUGGAAUGUGGAGAAGCUGACUGGCAAGCCUACAGCCAGCUGCUUGUCUUGCUGCAAUCCCAUUGGGUGCAGUUUGGGUAUAUUGCAUGCGCAGUGUCUGUAUAUCAGCUCCCUCUCAGAGCAGGGGCUGGAAGUGUGCAGGCAGAAUGAGGUGACUCCUGAGGACCGGAUGCAGGAUCCCGGUGGACACAGGUCAGUAUAUCUGCUGGUGAGUGAGGAGGAACACACACUUUCACCCUGUUGGGAAGUACAUUUGUAAUAAGGCAGGACCCUGGCUUGCUUUCCAGUGUCUGUUGUUUCUGGACUUUGGAGAAGUUUGUUAAUUCUCCUCUGCAGUUGCCUCAUCUGUAAAUGAGAACAUUACCUAUCUCAGAGAUGGGCUAGCAGGAUUUAAACACGGGGCCCAUGCAAAGUCCUUUGUAUGUUGUAAGGUACUAUAUAAGUUAUACUCAGCUGUGUGAGUGGCUGUUAAACUCACCUAUGUCCUAAGCAGGCUCCCCAAGCUGUCUGGAACACCCGCACUGAAGACAGCCUGCCCAGGAUGCAGGAUGCUGGUGUUCAGCGACAACGCCCUGCCACACUCCGCUCAUAUUCCUGAGUACCCACUGCAUGCCAGGAACUCUUCUAGGCCUUGAGAAUGCAGAGUGAACAAAGGAAAGCAGGCUGACUGGAGUCGGGUAUGGGAUUAGAGAGGGAUGGAGAUGGGGCUGUGCUAUUUCAGCUGGAGCAGCCAGGGAGGUUGUGGCAACUGAGUGGAGAUCUGAACAAAGUGAGUGAAGGGCCAGGUGCGGUGGCUCACGCCUGUAAUCCCAGCACUUUGGGAGGUGGAGGCAGGAGGAUCACUUGAGCCCCGGAGCUUGAGAUCUUGGGCAACAUACUGAGACUCUGUCUCUCCAAAAGAUUUUUUUAAAAAAGUUAGCUGGACAUGAUGCUGCACGCCUGUAGUCCUAGCUACUUGGGAAGCUGAGGCAGGAGGAUCCCUUGAGUCCAGGAGUUCAGGGUGAUAGUGAGCUAUGAUCUUGCCACUACAUUUCAGCCUGGGCAACAGAGUGAGUCCCUGUCUGUAAAAUUAAAAAAAAUUUUAAAAAGUGAGUGAAGGAGCCAUGCAAAAAAUUUCCAGGAUCUGUACGAGGUUAUUAUUUUAUUUAAUCCUUUUACUAAUCCUGAAAGGCAGAUAUUUUACAGAGGAGGAAAUGGAAGCCCCGAGCUGACCCAGCCUAGGGGGACAGGGCUGGGUCCAUGCUCUUCCCAUGCUCUGCUCCAUCCUGUGCACUUGCUACUUCCUCCCUUUUCAGCCUCGGGUGUCUUACUAGUCCACCUUAUUCUCUUCCCAUCAGCUUUACGUGAUCCUUUCUUCAUCUUUCUCUUUAUUUCUCUUAAAAAAUGAACAAAGAGAAGAAGGAGUAAAAUAACCUGGUAACUUGAUGGACACAUAUUCUCACUGAGAAUGUUGUUUUUAAACUCUAAACUCAUCCCAUAUGCAUCCGCCUCGCUCCAUCUCCCCACCGCCUCCGAAUGCAGGUUAUCACCACCUUUUGCCAGCAGAGGCUCCUAACUGCUCUCUCUGCUUCCAAUUCACUCUCUGUGCAGCAGCAAGGGUGAUCUUUUAAAAAUGUAAAUUGGAUCAUGUCACUCUGUGCUUAAAAUCCUCCAGUGGCUUCCCACUUGCACUCAGAAUAAAAUUUAAACUUCUCAUCCUGACCUCCAACCUGGCACGAUUCAGCCCCUGCCUACCUCUCCAACCUCACCUUGUCCCACCUUCCCCCUGUGCACUCUGUUCCUGCCACUCAGAUCUCAUUUCAGUUCCUCAAACAUGUCAUGCUCUUCCCCAACUCUGUACUAACUAACUUUUCCUCAUUAUUGAGUCUUCAAAUUAAAUGUCACUUAUGCAGAGAGGCUUCCCCUACUCACCCACCCUACAUUAGGUCUCUCUUGUUAUUCUCUUUCAGCCUCCAGAGCCUCUGGUAGACUAGGAAGCUAUGAGGGCAGAGGCUGGCCAUGGCAGGCAGGCUAACAAAGGACCUAAAGAUCCCACCACUGGGUUUUCAUGCACAUGUGUGGUCCCCUCUCCUUCUGUGUCAUCUGAAUCCAGUGAUUUGCUUUGAAUCAAUAGACUGCAAAGGUGACGGGAUGUCAUUUCUGCAAUUAAGUUUCAAAAGAUAGUGACCUAUGUCUCACCAGCAGACUCUUUCUACUACAUUCUUUGGCAUUCACACUUUGAUGAAGCAAGUUUCGUACUGGAGAGACCCCUGUGGCAAGGAACCGGGGCUGGCCUCUGGUCAACAUCCAUCAGGGAAGUUUGGGCCUCAGUCCACCAGCCCUUGAGAAAUUGAGGCCUUAGCACAGAACUUGGAAGCAGAUCCUUCCCCAGAGGAGCCUUGAGAGGAGGCCACAGGACCUGGGCUGGCCUUAGACUGCAGCCUUGUGAGAGACCAGAACACAGAGGGUCCAGCUAAGCCAUAUGUGAUUUCUGACCCACAGAAGCCGUGAGACAAUCCGUGCUGUUUUAAGCUGCUAAACUGGGGUGAUUUGUUACACAACAAUUGAUAACUAGCACACUGAGCAUUCAUUUGUAAAUACUUGUUGAAUGAAUGAAGGAAUGAAUGGCUUAGUUGUGCCCUGAACCUCCUGAACAGGGAUGGGGAAGCGGUUGUCCAAAUAUGCCAAGAUCUAGCCUGUAAUCACCAUAGCUCUCUGCUCUCACAUGUCUUCUCACACAGACUGCAUAACAAACCCAAACAGAAGGCCUAUUGGCUUCCUGAACAGCUAGUUUCAAGCAAAUGGUGUUACCUUUGACUUAGCUUUCUGAAAACUACCUCUUCUGCCUGUUAGGAUUCAGUGGUCUCCUAAUGAGAUGGAUUUCAAAACCCAACAUGCAUCUUUUCCAACAGUGCGUGCCUUCUCCAAGGGGAGAAAUAACCCCACUCUUUUCCCUGGUUAUCAGUGAUACCAUACUCAUGUGGCAAAGCCUCCAAAAUGAAUAAUUCAUGGUCUAUGAGUACAUUUCGUGAAUAUAUAGGAUGCCAUAUAAAAAUAACAUAAAUGUUUCCUAAUAGAAUUAAUACACUUUCGAAGCAGUUCAGCUUGAGGCAAUUAUUGCACUUCCUGGGAGAUACAAAUUACUUUGCCCUCAGCCUCAUGCCAAAUAACCCCCCUAAGACACACACUAAUUACACAGAAAUACACUGCCUGCCAUAGCUCAUUGACUAAUUGACAAUCAGUUUAAAACUUCAGCAAAAUAUCUUAAAACUUAGGCUUUGCAUUUAGCAAGGAAACCAAUUUUGUUUAUCUCCUCAUUUUGGUCUGCCUCAUUGGCAAAGUUGUAGUAUGGUUGGUAAGUAAUGACUGAGCAGGCUUAUUAUAAUGAUCAAUGGUAAAAGAAAGCAUUCCAUCAUACUGUAUAGCAUUUCCAUCUCUCAUUUCUGUGAUUCUAUUAAGAACAAUUACCAAUAAUAUAUCCGUUAAUGUGAUACAAAAAUAGAAUGCAACCGUGUAUGUAAUAGUUAUUGCUAAUGUGCUCUGCUAAGCUCAGUGUACACUUGUCACUGACUCAUGCACUAUUAAGAUGUGGCCUUUCCAAGCUCUACACCCUUUACAUUCUGAUGUAAGCACAUGCACCCACUGAGUUCAUGCUGUACCUACACACAUUCCUUCUGCCUUAAAAGUAAGUCAUGGACAAAAGUUAAAUCCUUGGGAAUCCUUCUUUACCGUGUCUUCUCUAUUUACCAAUCACUGUUAGAGACCCAACUUCUUUGUAAAGCUAUGUGAGCCUACAUCUGCAUAAAUGUUGUUUCUAAUCACCUUCAUUAUUCCGAGAGUUGACAUACUAUCAACCUUUGCUCUGGAGUUUCUGAAAUAGUCCAAUCUUAGAGGGGAAGUACACCCAAAUACCAGACAACUGAUUUAUAAUGAAAUAUCUGGGGGAAUGACCAAUUCACUCAUUGGAGAUUGCUGUUCUAGGUGCUACAGAACAAAUCUGUAGGAGUUUACAGAUACAGACGGGGCAAUCACUGUGGGAUUGCUGGACUGGCAUUUCUCUUAGGAUUGCAUCUGGUUGCAACCACGGAAUGUCCAACCAGGAGUGGCUUGAACAAUUUGGGAUUUAUUUUUCUCACAGAAUGAGACUUCCAAUGGCAAGAAACCAGGGGCUGGGGUUGUGGCUCAGUGACGAUAUCAAAACACCAGCUCCUUUUGCUUUUCUACUCUUCCGUCCUUUGCUUGUGGGCUGGUUGCCUCAUGCUCUGGAAAUGACUGCUGCAGAGAAGCGGGGCAGAGUCUGCACCAAGCUGCCUUGAACAUGUCUAUUGGGAAAGCACAUGCUCGGCCCUGAACCCUCAUCAGACUUCAGCUUAGGUCUCGUUAGCUAAAACUGUGUCCCACUGGCCUCACUUGGCUACAGGGGAGGCCUGGAAACAAUAGUUAGUUUGGGCACAGGGCUGUCCUAAUAAACAAGGUUUCAUUAGCAAGGGGUGAACGAAACUGGAGUGGGCCAUGAAUGGGUCUGUCAUUGCUGAUAGAAAAUGGGAUAUCUAGCUGCAGUGUGAGGGAUGGGUAAAAUUGAGGUAAGAAACAGAAGAGGAAAAGUGGUCCUUGGUGGAGUUAGAGUGAGAGUAACUCUGGGAAAAGAAAGAAUAGCAGCAUGUCUAGGAGACUGUGAGAACAUUGCUCCAGGAAAAUUUUGUUCAGAGAGGGUGGAUAAAGGUCAGAUGUGUCUAUAAAUCAAACAACUGAUUUAUAAUUGACCCUGUGAAGUGUGUCCAGUUCCUGAGGCAGCCCCCUAUCCUCCCCUACUCUUAACACACACACACCUCAUUCUCACUCCCAGGGCCAUCAUGGGCAGGCUUAAGUGGACUUUCUGACCAAAGGGAAUAAAAUCUUAAGGGAUUCUAUGGCCUGCAUUUUUGCCUUUUCCCCAAGCCAGAGAUUCUCAGCAUUGGCUAUAUAUCGGAGUAACAUGGGGGAAGUUUUAAGCACUUUGAUGCCAAGGUCACACCCCAGAACAAUUAAAGCGAACUCUAGGAGUAGGCUAAGUAUGUGCUGGUAAAAGUUUAAUAACCAGCUCUCUGGAAAACCAGUGUUCAU